GACGAACGCUGGCGGCGUGCCUAAUACAUGCAAGUCGAGCGAUGAUUGAAUAUAGCUUGCUAUUUUCAUGAAGAGCGGCGAACGGGUGAGUAACGCGUGGGAAAUCUGCCGAGUAGCGGGGGACAACGUUUGGAAACGAACGCUAAUACCGCAUAACAAUAAGAAUCGCAUGAUUCUUAUUUGAAAGAAGCAAUUGCUUCACUACUUGAUGAUCCCGCGUUGUAUUAGCUAGUUGGUAGUGUAAAGGACUACCAAGGCGAUGAUACAUAGCCGACCUGAGAGGGUGAUCGGCCACACUGGGACUGAGACACGGCCCAGACUCCUACGGGAGGCAGCAGUAGGGAAUCUUCGGCAAUGGGGGCAACCCUGACCGAGCAACGCCGCGUGAGUGAAGAAGGUUUUCGGAUCGUAAAACUCUGUUGUUAGAGAAGAACGUUAAGUAGAGUGGAAAAUUACUUAAGUGACGGUAUCUAACCAGAAAGGGACGGCUAACUACGUGCCAGCAGCCGCCGUAACAC
Molecule: ribosomal RNA, 518 nt
Filed under: uncultured bacterium
Lineage: Bacteria
Description: bacterial SSU rRNA
Rfam family: Bacterial small subunit ribosomal RNA
Source: RNAcentral